ACUCCUACGGGAGGCAGCAGUGGGGAAUUUUGCGCAAUGGGGGAAACCCUGACGCAGCAACGCCGCGUGAGUGAUGAAGGCCCUUGGGUCGUAAAGCUCUGACAGAGGGAAAGAAGUGUAGAGUGGCUAAUAUCCACAUUACUUGACGGUACCCUCAAAGGAAGCACCGGCUAACUCCGUGCCAGCAGCCGCGGUAAUACGGGGGGUGCAAGCGUUGUUCGGAUUUAUUGGGCGUAAAGCGCGUGUAGGCGGUUUUAUAAGUCUGAUGUGAAAGCCCUGGGCUCAACCCGGGAAGUGCAUUGGAUACUGUAAGACUUGAAUACGGGAGAGGGCAGUGGAAUUCCUAGUGUAGGAGUGAAAUCCGUAGAUAUUAGGAGGAACACCGGUGGCGAAGGCGGCUGCCUGGACCGAUAUUGACGCUGAGACGCGAAAGCGUGGGUAGCAAACAGGAUUAGAUACCCUGGUAGUCCACGCCGUAAACGAUGAGAACUAGGUGUUGCGGGUA
Molecule: ribosomal RNA, 505 nt
Filed under: uncultured Geobacter sp.
Lineage: Bacteria; Pseudomonadati; Thermodesulfobacteriota; Desulfuromonadia; Geobacterales; Geobacteraceae
Description: bacterial SSU rRNA
Rfam family: Bacterial small subunit ribosomal RNA
Source: RNAcentral